This 468-nucleotide ribosomal RNA is filed under the name uncultured bacterium. Its description in RNAcentral is "partial 16S ribosomal RNA". It matches the Rfam family "Bacterial small subunit ribosomal RNA", at positions 28 to 507 of the family's 1533-position model. The record is from RNAcentral.
GACGAACGCUGGCGGCGUGCUUAACACAUGCAAGUCGAACGGAAAGGCCCUGCUGUUGUGGGGUGCUCGAGUGGCGAACGGGUGAGUAACACGUGAGUAACCUGCCCUUGACUUUGGGAUAACUUCAGGAAACUGGGGCUAAUACCGGAUAGGAGCUCCUGCUGCAUGGUGGGGGUUGGAAAGUUUCGGCGGUUGGGGAUGGACUCGCGGCUUAUCAGCUUGUUGGUGGGGUAGUGGCUUACCAAGGCUUUGACGGGUAGCCGGCCUGAGAGGGUGACCGGCCACAUUGGGACUGAGAUACGGCCCAGACUCCUACGGGAGGCAGCAGUGGGGAAUAUUGCACGAUGGGCGGAAGCCUGAUGCAGCAACGCCGCGUGCGGGAUGACGGCCUUCGGGUUGUAAACCGCUUUCGCCUGUGACGAAGCGUGAGUGACGGUAAUGGGUAAAGAAGCACCGGCUAACUACGUG